This 69-nucleotide transfer RNA is filed under the name Correlophus ciliatus (crested gecko). Its description in RNAcentral is "tRNA-Arg". Lineage: Eukaryota; Metazoa; Chordata; Lepidosauria; Squamata; Diplodactylidae. The record is from RNAcentral.
UAGCAGCUAGUCUAACAACAAGACCUCUAGUUUCGACCUAGCUAAUCUCAACACGAUUGAGGCCGCUAA